GGAAUAUAUAAAUAAUAAUAAGAAAAUUUUCUCAUUAGAUGGGCUUUUAUCCUUUGUUUGUAUCGAGGGAAAUGGGGAGGGAGAGAAAUAAUUCUCUUGUUUGGACAUAAAAUAGAGUUGUUUGCACAUAAAAUAGAGGAAAGAAACGAAGUGAAAUUGAUGGUAAAUGUUUAAAUGUUCUCCUCCAAUAUAAUAGAUAUAAGAAAAAAAGGUAUAAUAUCUCCUCUAUUGUAAUAAUUUAUCCAAAUAUCAUAAAACAAAUUAAUUUUCUUUUCUUUUCUCUCAAUUUCUCUUAUUUAAUUUCUCUCUGAUUUCCUUGCAUAAUUAAAGAUCUUAUCAACUGUAUAGAGAUGGGAAGUGAGGGACUAACUAAUAUAAUUUUUAAAAUCCAAGGACUGCUUGGCGAAUAAUGGCAAAAUCUGGGACACAGAGUAAUUCACCCAAUAUGACAUGAUGGUGAAAAUUUAUCUGUGGCAAUGAUCCAUCUGAUUUGCUAAUCUUAUGUCUGAUCUAGGAAGGAUAGUUUAUCUUAUAUUAGCUUGUUCUGAACACAAUGUAAGCUUAUAGCUUUGCUUGUCCUUGUUAACAAAUUAAUGUAAUUUGGAAAAAAACAAAAAGUCUAACCCAGGAUAUGAUUAUAACACAAAUUAAAGUUUGUGAUGGGAAUGGAUAAAAUUAGAAGAAUUGGAUAUUAUUGAAAAAAGUUUUAUCAUCA
This 715-nucleotide unclassified non-coding RNA is filed under the name Hevea brasiliensis (rubber tree). Lineage: Eukaryota; Viridiplantae; Streptophyta; Magnoliopsida; Malpighiales; Euphorbiaceae. The record is from RNAcentral.